This 435-nucleotide ribosomal RNA is filed under the name Acanthamoeba genotype T4. RNAcentral's name for it is "partial 18S ribosomal RNA". Lineage: Eukaryota; Discosea; Longamoebia; Acanthamoebidae. The record is from RNAcentral.
UGGGGUAAAGUGGCUAGCAUCCCCGCGCCCCGGCCGAAACCGAGACGCCAAGGAUGACCGCGCAACCGAUGGUGUGUGUUUUGUAUUCAACGUCUCCUAAUCGCUGGUCGGCAUCGUUUAUGGUUAAGACUACGACGGUAUCUGAUCGUCUUCGAUCCCCUAACUUUCGUUCUUGAUUAAUGAAAACAUCCUUGGCAGAUGCUUUCGCAGAAGUUAAUCUUUCAUAAAUCCAAGAAUUUCACCUCUGACAAUUAAAUAUUAAUGCCCCCAACUAUCCCUAUUAAUCAUUACCCUAGUCCUCGCGCUGCCAAAACCAACUGAAAAUAGGAGGACAGGGUCCUAUUCCAUUAUCCCAUGCUAAUGUAUUCGGUGGCAGAAAAUUGGAUCUGCCUGCUUUGAACACUCUAAUUUUUUCACGGUAAACGAUCUGGGCCA